CGAUAGAGGAGCGGUAACGAUAAGUAGCAUACGGUUAGGUCGCCCGGGACCGUCUGAGCUGUAUGCAAAAGGCAAUACCGCCGAAGAUAUGUACGUGGGAUGUACUGUUCUGAGUGUGUGCCGAACAGGUUCAUGCUUGUCAUCAUAUAGAUAUGAUGGAGUGCUAUCAGG
RNAcentral lists this non-coding RNA (171 nucleotides) under bovine gut metagenome. Its description in RNAcentral is "Lysine riboswitch". It matches the Rfam family "Lysine riboswitch aptamer". From Rfam's summary of the family: Riboswitches are metabolite binding domains within certain messenger RNAs that serve as precision sensors for their corresponding targets. Allosteric rearrangement of mRNA structure is mediated by ligand binding, and this results in modulation of gene expression. The record is from RNAcentral.